Molecule: ribosomal RNA, 446 nt
Filed under: uncultured bacterium
Lineage: Bacteria
Description: partial 16S ribosomal RNA
Rfam family: Bacterial small subunit ribosomal RNA
Source: RNAcentral
CCUACGGGGGGCAGCAGUCGAGAAUCAUUCACAAUGGGGGAAACCCUGAUGGUGCGACGCCGCGUGGGGGAAUGCAGCUCUUCGGAUUGUAAACCCCUGUCAUGUGGGAGUAAAUUAAAAAGAUAGUACCACAUGAGGAAGAGACGGUUAACUAUGUGCCAGAAGCCGCGGUAAUACAGAGGCCUCAAGCGUUGUUCGGAAUCACUGGGCGUAAAGCGUGCGUAGGCUGUUUGGUAAGUCGUGUGUGAAAGGCGCGGGCUCAACCCGCGGACGGCAGAGGAUACUGCGAGACUAGAGUAAUGGAGGGGGAACCGGAAUUCGCGGUGUAGCAGUGAAAUGCGUAGAUAUCGAGAGGAACACUCGUGGCGAAGGCGGGUUCCUGGACAUUAACUGACGCUGAGGCACGAAGGCCAGGGGAGCGAAAGGGAUUAGAUACCCCGGUAGUC